Molecule: ribosomal RNA, 427 nt
Filed under: uncultured bacterium
Lineage: Bacteria
Description: bacterial SSU rRNA
Rfam family: Bacterial small subunit ribosomal RNA
Source: RNAcentral
UGGGGAAUAUUGGACAAUGGGCGCAAGCCUGAUCCAGCAAUGCCGCGUGUGUGAAGAAGGCCUGCGGGUUGUAAAGCACUUUCAGUGGGGAGGAAGGUCUUGGUGCUAAUAACAUCGAGAAUUGACGUUACCUACAGAAGAAGCACCGGCUAACUCUGUGCCAGCAGCCGCGGUAAUACAGAGGGUGCAAGCGUUAAUCGGAAUUACUGGGCGUAAAGGGCGCGUAGGUGGUUUAUUAAGUUAGAUGUGAAAUACCUGGGCUUAACCUGGGAAUUGCAUUUAAAACUAAUUGGCUAGAGUAUGGUAGAGGGAAGUGGAAUUUCCGGUGUAGCGGUGAAAUGCGUAGAUAUCGGAAGGAACACCAGUGGCGAAGGCGACUUCCUGGACCAUUACUGACACUGAGGCGCGAAAGCGUGGGGAGCGAACA